Molecule: ribosomal RNA, 301 nt
Filed under: uncultured bacterium
Lineage: Bacteria
Description: partial 16S ribosomal RNA
Rfam family: Bacterial small subunit ribosomal RNA
Source: RNAcentral
CAGCAGCCACGGUAAUACGGAGGGGGCUAGCGUUAUUCGGAAUUACUGGGCGUAAAGCGCACGUAGGCGGAUCAGAAAGUCAGAGGUGAAAUCCCAGGGCUCAACCUUGGAACUGCCUUUGAAACUCCUGAUCUUGAGGUCGAGAGAGGUGAGUGGAAUUCCGAGUGUAGAGGUGAAAUUCGUAGAUAUUCGGAGGAACACCAGUGGCGAAGGCGGCUCACUGGCUCGAUACUGACGCUGAGGUGCGAAAGCGUGGGGAGCAAACAGGAUUAGAUACCCGAGUAGUCCCUGUCUCUUAUAA